UACGGAGGGUGCAAGCGUUAUCCGGAUUCACUGGGCUUAAAGGGUGCGUAGGUGGGUUAUUAAGUCAGGGGUGAAAUCUCCGGGCUCAACUCGGAAACUGCCAUUGAUACUAGUAGUCUUGAAUAUCGUGGAGGUAAGCGGAAUAUGUCAUGUAGCGGUGAAAUGCUUAGAUAUGACAUAGAACACCAAUUGCGAAGGCAGCUUACUGGCCGAAUAUUGACACUGAGGCACGAAAGCGUGGGGAGCAAACAGG
RNAcentral lists this ribosomal RNA (253 nucleotides) under uncultured bacterium. RNAcentral describes it as "partial 16S ribosomal RNA". It matches the Rfam family "Bacterial small subunit ribosomal RNA", at positions 524 to 776 of the family's 1533-position model. The record is from RNAcentral.